GAUGAACGCUGGCGGCGUGCCUAAUACAUGCAAGUCGAGCGAACAGAUGAGGAGCUUGCUCCUCUGACGUUAGCGGCGGACGGGUGAGUAACACGUGGAUAACCUACCUAUAAGACUGGGAUAACUUCGGGAAACCGGAGCUAAUACCGGAUAAUAUAUUGAACCGCAUGGUUCAAUAGUGAAAGACGGUUUUGCUGUCACUUAUAGAUGGAUCCGCGCCGCAUUAGCUAGUUGGUAAGGUAACGGCUUACCAAGGCAACGAUGCGUAGCCGACCUGAGAGGGUGGUCGCCCACACUGGAACUUGGACACGGUCCAUAGUCCUGCGGUAGGCAGCAGUAGGGAAUCUUCCGCAAUGGGCGAAAGCCUGACGGAGCAACGCCGCGUGAGUGAUGAAGGUCUUCGGAUCGUAAAACUCUGUUAUUAGGGAAGAACAAAUGUGUAAGUAACUAUGCACGUCUUGACGGUACCUAAUCAGAAAGCCACGGCUAACUACGUG
This 497-nucleotide ribosomal RNA is filed under the name uncultured bacterium. RNAcentral's name for it is "partial 16S ribosomal RNA". It matches the Rfam family "Bacterial small subunit ribosomal RNA", at positions 28 to 507 of the family's 1533-position model. The record is from RNAcentral.